Small nuclear RNA from Pteropus vampyrus (large flying fox), 107 nucleotides. The record is from Ensembl. NCBI's taxonomy places the organism in Eukaryota, Metazoa, Chordata, Mammalia, Chiroptera, Pteropodidae.
GUGCUCGCUUCGGUAGCACGCAUACCACAGUUUGAAUGAUACAGAAGAUGUUAGCAUGGCCUCUGUGCCAGGAUGACACGCAAAUUCGUGAAGUGCUCCAUAUUAAC